CUUGUGUAGUGUUAGUGGUGAUGGACUUUUUGAGAGAUUCGGCUGAUGAUGCUGCAGGAAAGAUCAUUUCUGUUAAUUGACGCUGAAUUUGCUGAAGCUGCUGGGAAAAGAAGCAGAGAAACUGCUUUCAUUUUUACCACUGGAUAAAGAUUGAUUACGUCUAUACAAGAAUAAUAAGGAAAAGUGCUUGUGGAAACUGUCUUUUCUGAACACCAGUCUCAUCAGCACAGUCCUCAGUUCACUGGAGGUGAGGUAUUUCAACUUAAGCUGUUAUACCCCGCAGUAGAGCAGUUUUUGACUCAGUAAUCACAGUGCUACACUUUAUUUACGAUUUCAAAUAAUUUCUUGCAGAUGCAGUAUAACUGAAACCAUUGUUUUUUUUUUUUGGCAGUUCUAAGAGGACACUUUACACUCUUCAACCGCUAAAAAAUAUAUGUUGCUGCCUAAAUUGUUUUCAGUAUUUUAAAAAUAAACAGUGUCAAUAGCCCUAUAGUCAAUAGCCCCGGCAUUAGUAUUACCUGGUGACCUCCAGUCAUUUGUAAUAAUUGCGGAGAUUGUCUGUGAUUUUAAUCCCGUGCGAAUCGGCCAUGUCUGUAAUUUGUAAAGUAAAAAUUCCCCUGCAAAUGACCUACCAUAUUUAGCCGAACACCAAGGUCCUGUGAUAAUAUUAGUCCCGUGCGAAUUGGCAUCUCUGUGAUUUGGCCUGCAUUUGGCAAAAAAUGUCAAAAUCACACAAGGUCCCCAGAUUAUACUAAUCCCUUGCGAAUAGGGCUAAUGACUUCUUUAUUGACACUUUGACAAACAUAUUUGUCCUGUAACUCUUGAAUGUCUUAAACUUUAUUUUUUUACAUUUUUUUUUUUACUUCUAGAACCCAGAUUUGACAGCACUGCACAACCAUCUGAGGCCUACCUGUUUUACUUUGUGUUUACUUUGUGAUUUCCCCAGAUACUUCUACAACUAACCUGCUUUGUAAGUCUCAUAGUUACACAUAUUUGAGAAGCACAUAAUUGUGUUUCCUUUAUAUUUGCUG
This 1031-nucleotide long non-coding RNA is filed under the name Sinocyclocheilus anshuiensis. Its description in RNAcentral is "lncRNA (ENSSANG00000012337.1)". The record is from RNAcentral. Lineage: Eukaryota; Metazoa; Chordata; Actinopteri; Cypriniformes; Cyprinidae.